Molecule: ribosomal RNA, 1485 nt
Filed under: uncultured Bordetella sp.
Lineage: Bacteria; Pseudomonadati; Pseudomonadota; Betaproteobacteria; Burkholderiales; Alcaligenaceae
Description: partial 16S-23S ribosomal RNA intergenic spacer
Rfam family: Bacterial small subunit ribosomal RNA
Source: RNAcentral
GGUUCAAUUCUGGCUCAGAUUGAACGCUGGCGGGAUACAGUUUACACAUGCAAGUCGAACGGCAGCACGGACUUCGGUCUGUAAGGAGUGGCGAACGGGUGAGUAAUGUAUCGGAACGCACGGUAGUGGGGAAUCGACAAGAAAGCGUAGCUAAUACUCGCAUACAGCCCUUCGGGGGAAAGCGGGGGACCUUCGGGCCUCGCACCAUUAGAGCGGCCGAUAUCAUCAUUAGCUUAGUUGGUGGGGUAACGGCUCACCAAGGCGACGAUCCGUAGCUGGUCGAGAGGACGACCAGCCACACUGGGACUGAGACACGGCCCAGACUCCUACGGGAGGCAGCAGUGGGGAAUUUUGGACAAUGGGGAAACCCUGAUCCAGCCAUCCAAGUGGUAAGUGAUGAAGGCCUUCGGGUUGUAAAGCACUUUUGGCAGGAAAGAAACGGCACGGGAUAAUACCCCCGUGCAACUGACGGUACCUGCAGAAUAAGUACCGGCUAACUACGUGCCAGCAGCCGCGGUAAUACGUAGGGUGCAAGCGUUAAUCGGAAUUACUGGGCGUAAAGCGUGCGCAGGCGGUUCGGAAAGAAAGAUGAAAUCCCAGAGCUAACUUUGGAACUGCAUUUUUAACUACUCGAGCAGAGUGUGUCAGAGGGAGGUGGAAUUCCGCGUGUAGCAGUGAAAUGCGUAGAUAUGCGGAGAACACCGAUGGCGAAGGCAGCCUCCCGGGGAUAACACUGACGCUCAUGCACGAAAGCGCGGGGAGCAAACAGGAUUAGAUACCCCGCAGUCCACGCCCUAAACGAUGUCAACGCUGUUGGGGCCUUCGGGCCUUGGUAGCGCAGCUAACGCGUGAAGUUGACCGCCUGGGGAGUACGGUCGUAAGAUUAAAACUCAAAGGAAUUGACGGGGACCCGCACAAGCGGUGGAUGAUGUGGAUUAACGGAUGCAAUGCGAAAAACCUUACCUGUACCCUUGUGAUACGUCUGGAAUCCCGAAGAGAUUUGGGAGUGCUCGCAGGAGAACCAACACAGGUGCUGCAUGGCUGCCGUCAGCUCGUAAUGUGAGAUGUUGGGUUAAGUCCCGCAACGAGCGCAACCUGUCAUUAGUUGCCAUGAAAGGGCACUCUACUGAGACUGCCGGUGACAAACCGGAGGAAGGUGGGGAUGACGCACAAGUCCUCAUGGCCUUGCGGUAGGGAGCCACACGUCAUACAAUGGUCGGGAUGUGAGGGUCGCCAACCCGCGAGGGGGAGCCAAUCCUAGAAACCCGAUCGUAGUCCGGAUCGCAGUCUGCAACUCGACUGCGUGAAGUCGGAAUCGCUAGUAAUCGUGACCAGCAUGACGGUGGUGAAGAUGUUCCUGGCCUUACACCGCCCGCUGCAAAGCGUACCAUGGGAGUGGGUUUUACCAGAAGUAGUUAGCUUUCCAACCGUAAGGAGUGGCGACGGCCACGGUGGAUCACAUGACCGGGGUGAAGUCAACAAGGU